Molecule: transfer RNA, 68 nt
Filed under: Echinosorex gymnura
Lineage: Eukaryota; Metazoa; Chordata; Mammalia; Eulipotyphla; Erinaceidae
Description: tRNA-His
Rfam family: tRNA
About the family: Transfer RNA (tRNA) molecules are approximately 80 nucleotides in length. Their secondary structure includes four short double-helical elements and three loops (D, anti-codon, and T loops).
Source: RNAcentral
GUAGAUAUAGUUUAAAAAAAACAUUAGAUUGUGAGUCUAAUAACAGAGACUAAAUCCUCUUAUCUACC